This 500-nucleotide ribosomal RNA is filed under the name uncultured archaeon. RNAcentral's name for it is "bacterial SSU rRNA". It matches the Rfam family "Archaeal small subunit ribosomal RNA", at positions 375 to 874 of the family's 1478-position model. The record is from RNAcentral.
GGGACUCCGAGUGCGAGGGCAUAUAGCCCUCGCUUUUCUGAACCGUAAGGUGGUUCAGGAACAAGUGCUGGGCAAGACCGGUGCCAGCCGCCGCGGUAAUACCGGCAGCACGAGUGAUGGCCGAUAUUAUUGGGCCUAAAGCGUCCGUAGCUUGCUGUGUAAGUCCAUUGGGAAAUCCACGCGCUCAACGCGUGGGCGUCCGGUGGAAACUACACGGCUUGGGGCCGAGAGACUCGACGGGUACGUCCGGGGUAGGAGUGAAAUCCUGUAAUCCUGGACGGACCACCAAUGGGGAAACCACGUCGAGAGACCGGACCCGACAGUGAGGGACGAAAGCCAGGGUCUCGAACCGGAUUAGAUACCCGGGUAGUCCUGGCCGUAAACAAUGCUCGCUAGGUAUGUCACGCGCCAUGAGCACGUGAUGUGCCGUAGUGAAGACGAUAAGCGAGCCGCCUGGGAAGUACGUCCGCAAGGAUGAAACUUAAAGGAAUUGGCGGGGG